RNAcentral lists this long non-coding RNA (355 nucleotides) under Homo sapiens (human). RNAcentral's name for it is "HSALNT0185500". Lineage: Eukaryota; Metazoa; Chordata; Mammalia; Primates; Hominidae. The record is from RNAcentral.
GUUCAAUGUCAUUAGCCAUUAAGGAAAUGUAAAUUAAAACUACAGUGAGAUAUUACUACAUACAUAAUCAGCAUGGCUAAAAUAACAAUAAGUGACAACAUCAAAUGCUUGUCAAGCUGCAGAGAAAGCGGAUCACUCACUCAUUCCUGGUGGAAAUGUAAUAUGCUGUAGCCACUCUGGAAAAUAGCGUAGCAGUUUCUUAAAAAUCUAAACUUCACACUUCCUUAAAACACAACAAUUGCACUCUUGAGCGUAUACCUCAUAGAAAUGAAAAUUUAUGUUCACACAAAAACCUGUACAUGAGUGCUUAUAGUAGCUCUAUUUGUAAUGACUAAAACCUGAAAACUACCUGGAU